Molecule: non-coding RNA, 87 nt
Filed under: Salmo salar (Atlantic salmon)
Lineage: Eukaryota; Metazoa; Chordata; Actinopteri; Salmoniformes; Salmonidae
Description: Eukaryotic large subunit ribosomal RNA
Rfam family: Eukaryotic large subunit ribosomal RNA
Source: Rfam by way of RNAcentral
CAGCCGAUGUCGGAAUUCACCAAGCGUUGGAUUGUUCACCCACUAAUAGGGAACGUGAGCUGGGAUUAGACCGUCGUGAGACAGGUU